RNAcentral lists this ribosomal RNA (783 nucleotides) under uncultured bacterium. Its description in RNAcentral is "bacterial SSU rRNA". It matches the Rfam family "Bacterial small subunit ribosomal RNA", at positions 34 to 866 of the family's 1533-position model. The record is from RNAcentral.
CGCUGGCGGCGGCCUACACAUGCAAGUCGAGCGAGGACUUCGGUCCUAGCGGCGGACGGGUGAGUAACGCGUGGGAACGCGCCCUUUGCUACGGAAUAGUCCCGGGAAACUGGGUUUAAUACCGUGUACGCCCUUCGGGGGAAAGAUUUAUCGGCAAAGGAUCGGCCCGCGUUGGAUUAGGUAGUUGGUGGGGUAAUGGCCUACCAAGCCGACGAUCCAUAGCUGGUUUGAGAGGAUGAUCAGCCACACUGGGACUGAGACACGGCCCAGACUCCUACGGGAGGCAGCAGUGGGGAAUCUUAGACAAUGGGGGAAACCCCGAUCUAGCCAUGCCGCGUGAGCGAUGAAGGCCUUAGGGUUGUAAGGCUCUUUCAGUGGGGAUGAUAAUGACGGUACCCACAGAAGAAGCCCCGGCUAACUCCGUGCCAGCAGCCGCGGUAAUACGGAGGGGGCUAGCGUUGUUCGGAAUUACUGGGCGUAAAGCGCGCGUAGGCGGGCUGGAAAGUUGGGGGUGAAAUCCCGGGGCUCAACCCCGGAACUGCCUCCAAAACUAUCAGCCUUGAGUUCGAGAGAGGUGAGUGGAAUUCCGAGUGUAGAGGUGAAAUUCGUAGAUAUUCGGAGGAACACCAGUGGCGAAGGCGGCUCACUGGCUCGAUACUGACGCUGAGGUGCGAAAGUGUGGGGAGCAAACAGGAUUAGAUACCCUGGUAGUCCACACCGUAAACGAUGAAUGCCAGACGUCGGCAAGCACGCUUGUCGGUGUCACACCUAACGGAUUAAGCA